UAUGUUUUAGUGUAUGAUGCACGAAGAUUUUUGAUUUCUUAGGGUUUGGUUUGAAUCCAAAAUAUAUAA
RNAcentral lists this transfer RNA (69 nucleotides) under Neocentrocnemis stali. Its description in RNAcentral is "tRNA-Gln". The record is from RNAcentral. Lineage: Eukaryota; Metazoa; Arthropoda; Insecta; Hemiptera; Reduviidae.